Molecule: ribosomal RNA, 292 nt
Filed under: uncultured bacterium
Lineage: Bacteria
Description: partial 16S ribosomal RNA
Rfam family: Bacterial small subunit ribosomal RNA
Source: RNAcentral
CUACCUACGGGAGGCAGCAGUAGGGAAUCUUCCACAAUGGGCGAAAGCCUGAUGGAGCAACGCCGCGUGGGUGAAGAAGGUCUUCGGAUCGUAAAACCCUGUUGUUAGAGAAGAAAGUGCGUGAGAGUAACUGUUCACGUUUCGACGGUAUCUAACCAGAAAGCCACGGCUAACUACGUGCCAGAAGCCGCGGCAAUACGUAGGUGGCAAGAGUUAUCCGGAUUUAUUGGGCGUAAAGGGAACGCAGGCGGUCUUUUAAGUCUGAGGUGAAAGCCUUCGGGUUAAACGGAGU